CCUACGGGAGGCAGCGGUGAGGAAUAUUGGACAAUGGGCGCAAGCCUGAUCCAGCCAUGCCGCGUGCAGGAAGACGGUCCUAUGGAUUGUAAACUGCUUUUAUACAGGAAGAAACACCUCUACGUGUAGAGACUUGACGGUACUGUAUGAAUAAGCAUCGGCUAACUCCGUGCCAGCAGCCGCGGUAAUACGGAGGAUGCAAGCGUUAUCCGGAAUCAUUGGGUUUAAAGGGUCCGUAGGCGGUUUAAUAAGUCAGUGGUGAAAGCCCAUCGCUCAACGAUGGAACGGCCAUUGAUACUGUUAAACUUGAAUUAUUAGGAAGCAAUUAGAAUAUGUAGUGUAGCGGUGAAAUGCUUAGAGAUUACAUGGAAUACCAAUUGCGAAGGCAGGUUACUACUAAUAUAUUGACGCUGAUGGACGAAAGCGUGGGGAGCGAACAGGAUUAGAUACCCUGGUAGUCCACGCCGUAAACGAUGGAUACUAGCUGUUCGGAGCAAUNUNGUGNGAGAGAAGAGAGAGUAUACCACCGUGGUAGGUACGUUCGUUCGAGAAGUUAGAACGACGAAGGAAGUAGACGGACGNGAGAGAGCGACGGACGACGACGAGGGAGGAGGAG
Molecule: ribosomal RNA, 616 nt
Filed under: uncultured bacterium
Lineage: Bacteria
Description: bacterial SSU rRNA
Rfam family: Bacterial small subunit ribosomal RNA (bases 1-528)
Source: RNAcentral